This 586-nucleotide long non-coding RNA is filed under the name Podarcis lilfordi (Lilford's wall lizard). The record is from RNAcentral. Lineage: Eukaryota; Metazoa; Chordata; Lepidosauria; Squamata; Lacertidae.
ACACAAGAACUUCCCACGCUGGAGGAAUGGCAGAUGAAACUUAUGGACUAUAUGGAAUUGGCGGAAAUGACUGGCAGAAUCCGUGACCAGGGAGAAGAGUCGAUGGAGGAAGACUGGAAGAAAUUCAAAGACUAUCUUCAGAAACACUGCAAAAUUAAGGAAUGUUAGAGUGAUGUUGGAUUGAAAAUAAGUGGUUUCCAGCUAUACAGGUUAAAGUUAAGGAUAGAUUAAGAUUAAAGAUCAAGAUUAAAGAUGUUUAAAGAAAUGGAAAUUUGAUAAUAAAAGGGAAAAAUUUAAAGGUAUAUGACAUUAAGAAUAAGGAUUAUGUUUAAAAAAGUUGAAGUUAUAUAUUUUAAUAUUUUAUUAAAUUAAAGAUUGGGUUUAAAAAAGUGGAAAAGAAACUGCUGGACAAAUAAUGUAGAUUGGAAUACAAAAGAGGGAGGUAUGAGGAAGUCCAGAAAAUAAGUAAUUUAAAAUUGGGAAUGGAAAAGAGAGUUUGUUUUUAAUUGUUAUGUUUUGUGUUUUUAUUGUUAAAUUUUGUAUUGUUUUUUUGUGUGUGUUGUUUUUCUUUUUUCUUUGUUUAAAA